RNAcentral lists this ribosomal RNA (759 nucleotides) under uncultured Pseudomonas sp. RNAcentral describes it as "bacterial SSU rRNA". It matches the Rfam family "Bacterial small subunit ribosomal RNA", at positions 28 to 776 of the family's 1533-position model. Lineage: Bacteria; Pseudomonadati; Pseudomonadota; Gammaproteobacteria; Pseudomonadales; Pseudomonadaceae. The record is from RNAcentral.
AUUGAACGCUGGCGGCAGGCCUAACACAUGCAAGUCGAACGGUAACAGGAAGAAGCUUGCUUCUUUGCUGACGAGUGGCGGACGGGUGAGUAAUGCCUAGGAAUCUGCCUGGUAGUGGGGGAUAACGUUCGGAAACGGACGCUAAUACCGCAUACGUCCUACGGGAGAAAGCAGGGGACCUUCGGGCCUUGCGCUAUCAGAUGAGCCUAGGUCGGAUUAGCUAGUUGGUGAGGUAAUGGCUCACCAAGGCGACGAUCCGUAACUGGUCUGAGAGGAUGAUCAGUCACACUGGAACUGAGACACGGUCCAGACUCCUACGGGAGGCAGCAGUGGGGAAUAUUGGACAAUGGGCGAAAGCCUGAUCCAGCCAUGCCGCGUGUGUGAAGAAGGUCUUCGGAUUGUAAAGCACUUUAAGUUGGGAGGAAGGGUUGUAGAUUAAUACUCUGCAAUUUUGACGUUACCGACAGAAUAAGCACCGGCUAACUCUGUGCCAGCAGCCGCGGUAAUACAGAGGGUGCAAGCGUUAAUCGGAAUUACUGGGCGUAAAGCGCGCGUAGGUGGUUUGUUAAGUUGGAUGUGAAAUCCCCGGGCUCAACCUGGGAACUGCAUUCAAAACUGACUGACUAGAGUAUGGUAGAGGGUGGUGGAAUUUCCUGUGUAGCGGUGAAAUGCGUAGAUAUAGGAAGGAACACCAGUGGCGAAGGCGACCACCUGGACUAAUACUGACACUGAGGUGCGAAAGCGUGGGGAGCAAACAGG